RNAcentral lists this transfer-messenger RNA (353 nucleotides) under Puniceibacterium sp. IMCC21224. RNAcentral's name for it is "Alphaproteobacteria transfer-messenger RNA". It matches the Rfam family "Alphaproteobacteria transfer-messenger RNA". Rfam says of the family: Bacterial tmRNA, also known as 10Sa RNA or SsrA, is named for its dual tRNA and mRNA-like properties. Lineage: Bacteria; Pseudomonadati; Pseudomonadota; Alphaproteobacteria; Rhodobacterales; Paracoccaceae. The record is from Rfam by way of RNAcentral.
CCCAUUGAACCCGCCUGCAAACGCGCCUAUAUUGGGCGUGUCUGGCAACAGACUAUGAACAUAAACGCGCUCGUAAUACGCGGAUCGGACCCGGGGGCGGUACCCGGCCACUCCACCAAUACCCCCGCUCAUUUGGCGGCCUUGGGGUGGAAAUAGGAUCGACGAACGUCUAAAGGGGUUAGCUUUGUUUCGGCGGUCUGCCACCGUUACCGGCGAAAACAGUACAAUUGCAAAUGACAAUCGUGCUCCGAUGGCUCUUGCCGCGUAAGCGGUCGGAAAUAUCGAAACUUAAGCCCUUGCGCCUAGCAGCGUAAGGCGGGGUUCGCAGGCACCUGGCAACAGAAGCCUGCACA